CCUACGGGUGGCAGCAGUGGGGAAUAUUGCACAAUGGGGGAAACCCUGAUGCAGCGACGCCGCGUGAGUGAAGAAGUAUUUCGGUACGUAAAGCUCUAUCAGCAGGGAAGAAAAAAAGUCCUUUGGACUUUGGACGGUACCUGACCAAGAAGCCCCGGUUAACUACGUGCCAGCAGCCGCGGUAAUACGGAGGGGGCAAGCGUUAUCCGGAUUUACUGGGUGGAAAGGGAGCGUAGACGGCAGCGCAAGUCUGGAGGGAAAUGCCGGGGCCCAAACCCGGAACUGCUUUGGAAACUGUGCAGCUGGAGUGCAGGAGAGGUAAGCGGAAUUCCUAGUGUAGCGGGGAAAUGAGUAGAUAUUAGGAGGAACACCAGUGGCGAAGGCGGCUUACUGGACUGUAACUGACGUUGAGGCUCGAAAGCGUGGGGAGCAAACAGGAUUAGAUACCCCAGUAGUC
RNAcentral lists this ribosomal RNA (457 nucleotides) under uncultured bacterium. RNAcentral describes it as "partial 16S ribosomal RNA". It matches the Rfam family "Bacterial small subunit ribosomal RNA", at positions 338 to 795 of the family's 1533-position model. The record is from RNAcentral.